This is a non-coding RNA of Parelaphostrongylus tenuis, 74 nucleotides long. The record is from the annotation of a GenBank genome assembly. NCBI's taxonomy places the organism in Eukaryota, Metazoa, Nematoda, Chromadorea, Rhabditida, Metastrongylidae.
GCUUUGGUGAUGUAGUGGUAGAGCACGCGUCCCCGGAUAGGAAGAGAACGCGGGUUUGAUUCCCGCCUAAGGCC